UACGUAGGGGGCGAGCGUUGUCCGGAAUCAUUGGGCGUAAAGCGCGUGUAGGCGGCUCGUUAAGUCCGGUGUGAAACCUUGGGGCUCAACCCCAAGCCUGCACUGGAUACUGCCUCGCUUGAGUCCGGGAGGGGAGAGCGGAAUUCCUAGUGUAGCGGUGAAAUGCGCAGAUAUUAGGAAGAACACCGGUGGCGAAGGCGGCUCUCUGGAACGGUACUGACGCUGAGACGCGAAAGCGUGGGGAGCGAACAGG
RNAcentral lists this ribosomal RNA (253 nucleotides) under uncultured bacterium. Its description in RNAcentral is "partial 16S ribosomal RNA". It matches the Rfam family "Bacterial small subunit ribosomal RNA", at positions 524 to 776 of the family's 1533-position model. The record is from RNAcentral.